This 424-nucleotide ribosomal RNA is filed under the name uncultured Planctomyces sp. RNAcentral's name for it is "partial 16S ribosomal RNA". It matches the Rfam family "Bacterial small subunit ribosomal RNA", at positions 355 to 774 of the family's 1533-position model. The record is from RNAcentral. Lineage: Bacteria; Pseudomonadati; Planctomycetota; Planctomycetia; Planctomycetales; Planctomycetaceae.
UCGAGAAUCUUCGGCAAUGGGCGAAAGCCUGACCGAGCGAUGCCGCGUGCGGGAUGAAGGUCUUCGGAUUGUAAACCGCUGUCGGAGGGGAUGAAGUGUAUGGGAGCAAUCUCCUGUAUUUGACAGAGCCUCGGAGGAAGCACGGGCUAAGUUCGUGCCAGCAGCCGCGGUAAUACGAACUGUGCAAACGUUAUUCGGAAUCACUGGGCUUACAGGGUGCGUAGGCGGCAUUUUAAGUCAGGUGUGAAAUCCCCCGGCUCAACCGGGGAACUGCGCCUGAGACUGGAUUGCUCGAGUGAGGCAGGGGUGUACGGAACUUCCGGUGGAGCGGUGAAAUGUGUAGAUAUCGGAAGGAACGCCAGCAGCGAAAGCGGUACACUGGGCCUUGUCUGACGCUGAGGCACGAAAGCCAGGGUAGCGAACG